AAACAAUUUAAUUAGGGUUAUACUAUGUUUUGUGAGGUUUUACAAAUAAAAUUUCCCUAUUAAUAAUUUGACUAGUGUUUUAAAAAUAAUUCCUUAGAUUGACCUACCUUUGAGUUUAUUAAGGAAAGGCACUUUAAAUGGGCUCUACACCAGUAAAGGAUUUUUAUUGUAUUAUAGAAAUAUAGAAUAAGCAUGAGGAAAUUAGAAGAGAUAAAAAUUGGUGCCAGCAAUCGCGGUUAGACCAGUAUCAUCAAGCCAAUGGACUGAAAUCGGAUAAAAGUGAAGUAAAAAGUAAAACAGAUUAAUUUACAGUAGGGACGGUAAAAUGAUCUACAAAAAGUCGUGAGAAUGUUUGCGCGUGAACUAUCUUAAUUAUGGUUUUUACAACUCAAUCUAUCAAGGCUGCAGUUAAAAACAGGGACUAGUUCCCCUUUAUUAAAGCUUUUUAUUAGGUGUGCGGAGACUACGAGCAAAAAAGCUUAAAAACCAAAGGGGUUGGCGGCGUUUCAAAUCCGGUUAGGGGAACUUGGCGAUUAAAUUGAUGAACCUCGAAAAUUUUACCUUUAGUUUACCUUACAUACCGCCGUUGUGAUAGGCUUUUAUGAGGGAAGGGUUUUACUUAAUAUUUAUGAGUUGGAGUAAUUUUAUUUAAUAGCUCUAUCUUUAUAGAAAUUCAGGUCAACGUGUAGGAUCUAAAGGGUUUAGCUGAGUUACAAUUUUUAUAAAAUAUGGAAUUAUAAAGUUAAGUUUAUAUAGAAAGUGGACUUAUUAGUAAAACUUUAGUAUAAAUGAAGUUUGAAUAGUGUCAUGAAAUGCGUACAAAUCGCCCGGCGCCCUCACAUAUAGUAAGAUGAGGUAAGUCGUAACAUAGUAAUGCUAGUAGAAACUGGCGUUAAGUAAAU
RNAcentral lists this non-coding RNA (902 nucleotides) under Macridiscus melanaegis. RNAcentral's name for it is "12S ribosomal RNA". The stretch from base 459 to 895 matches the Rfam family "Microsporidia small subunit ribosomal RNA", at positions 752 to 1304 of the family's 1311-position model. The record is from RNAcentral. Lineage: Eukaryota; Metazoa; Mollusca; Bivalvia; Venerida; Veneridae.